Molecule: ribosomal RNA, 253 nt
Filed under: uncultured bacterium
Lineage: Bacteria
Description: partial 16S ribosomal RNA
Rfam family: Bacterial small subunit ribosomal RNA
Source: RNAcentral
UACGUAGGGACCAAGCGUUGUUCGGAUUUACUGGGCGUAAAGGGCGCGUAGGCGGCAAUUCAAGUCAUCUGUGAAAUCUCCGGGCUUAACUCGGAACGGUCAGAUGAUACUGCUUUGCUAGAGUGCAGAAGGGGCAAUCGGAAUUCUCGGUGUAGCGGUGAGAUGCGCAGAUAUCAGGAGGAACACCGGUGGCGAAGGCGGGUCUCUGGGCCGAUACUGACGCUGAGGAGCGAAAGCGUGGGGAGCGAACAGG